Molecule: long non-coding RNA, 494 nt
Organism: Drosophila biarmipes
Lineage: Eukaryota; Metazoa; Arthropoda; Insecta; Diptera; Drosophilidae
Exons: 3
Source: RefSeq, a predicted model, not a curated record
UUUAGUCAAAAAUCCUCUAUUUUUAGGGGUUUUUCAGUCGUAACUUGGCCAAAUCAAGACGUACAGCCAAAAGAGUGACAGUUUUGAUCAGCUGGCGACCCAAGGUAUCGAAUUCAAUCACUUUAAGGGACAUUUAUUUUUUGACCCAUUUUUUCAUUUUUUGUAAGGGGUUGUAUCGUGAUUUUUUGAAAUUCCGAUUUUAGUCAAAAAUCCUCUAUUUUUAGGGGUUUUUCAGUCGUAACUUGGCCAAAUCAAGACGUACAGCCAAAAGAGUGACAGUUUUGAUCAGCUGGCGACCCAAGGUAUCGAAUUCAAUCACUUUAAGGGACAUUUAUUUUUUGACCCAUUUUUUCAUUUUUUGUAAGGGGUUGUAUCGUGAUUUUUUGAAAUUCCGAUUUUAGUCAAAAAUCCUCUAUUUUUAGGGGUUUUUCAGUCGUAACUUGGCCAAAUCAAGACGUACAGCCAAAAGAGCGACAGUUUUGAUCAGCUGGCGA